RNAcentral lists this non-coding RNA (21 nucleotides) under Caenorhabditis elegans. The record is from RNAcentral. Lineage: Eukaryota; Metazoa; Nematoda; Chromadorea; Rhabditida; Rhabditidae.
UUCUUGCAAGUUGUCACGAUU